This 2392-nucleotide unclassified non-coding RNA is filed under the name Hevea brasiliensis (rubber tree). Lineage: Eukaryota; Viridiplantae; Streptophyta; Magnoliopsida; Malpighiales; Euphorbiaceae. The record is from RNAcentral.
GGAUGAGACAGGCAGUGCGAGAGAGGUUUGAAUGCCAAUCGCCAACCACUCACAAAUAUGCUAUCUUUCAAUUAACAAUCUCCUCAAGCAAGGCAAAACCAACCUUCAACUCCACCAAGUCCAUGCCCACGCUGUCACUUAUGGUCUCCUCUCUCUUAGCAGUUCUCAAAUUUUAACCAAAAUCCUCUACGCUCUCACCAAGGCAAUUACCCCCAAAUCAUCAUCGUCUCUGUUGCACUAUGCAGUCUCCGUAUUCAAUGCUAUUCCAAACCCCUCUCCCUUUUGCUACAAUCUUGUCAUUAGAAUCCACACCCUCCAUUCCUCUCCUUUCCUCGCCCUCCAUUUCUUUCUACAAAUGCGCCGUUUCUCUGUACCUCCUGACUUCCACUCCUUCCCUUUUGCCCUCAAAGCUUGCACACAGCUUCGCUUUCUUUCGUUGGCCCAAUCGCUACAUUCUCAAGUUCUGAGAUUUGGGUUUGUCUCAGAUUUGUACGUGAUGAAUUCUCUCAUUCAUGUGUAUUCGGUAUCUAAUCGCUUAAAUUAUGCUUAUCAGGUGUUUGAGGAAAGUUCUCAUCAAGAUGUGGUCUCUUACAAUGCGUUGAUUGACGGGUUCGUUAAAGUCGGUGACAUUGAAAAGGCACGGAAAAUUUUUGAUCGGAUGUCUGUGCGAGAUUCUGUGUCGUGGGGUACUCUUAUGGCAGGGUAUGCCCAGGGAAGCCAUUGCAAGGAGGCAAUUGAAUUAUUUGAUCUUAUGAUGGAUUUAAAGCUUAGACCUGAUAAUAUUGCAUUGGUGUCUGCUCUUUCUGCUUGUGCACAACUAGGUGAACUGGUAAAAGGAACGCAGGUUCGCAAUUAUAUUGAAAAGAAUAAUAUACCGAUUGAUUCUUUUUUAUCAACGGGGUUGGUUGAUCUUUAUGCGAAGUGUGGGUGCAUUGGCACUGCUCUAAAGAUUUUUGAAUUGAGCCCUGAUAAAAGUUUGAUUACAUGGAACGCGAUGCUAGUCGGCAUUGCAAUGCACGGUCAUGGUGAGUUAUUGCUAAAUUACUUCUCAAGAAUGAUGGAGGCUGGGGUUAAACCUGACGGAGUUAGCUUUUUAGGAGUUUUAGUAGGAUGUAGCCAUGGGGGGCUGGUAGAUGAGGCCAGGAAGAUUUUCCAUGAGAUGGAAUCUUUUUAUGGUGUCCGUCGAGAGCCCAAACACUAUGGGUGCAUGGCUGAUUUGCUAGGCCGGGCUGGGUUGAUCAAAGAAGCAAUAGAAAUGAUAAAGAACUUGCCUACGGGUGGUGAUAUGUCUGCGUGGAGUGGUUUGCUAGGAGGGUGUAGGAUACAUGGGAAUGUUGAAAUUGCAGAGAUGGCAGCAAAGCAGGUGAUGGAGUUAAAACCUGAAGAUGGUGGGGUUUAUUCAAUCUUGGCUAAUGUUUAUGCCAAUGCAGAUCGAUGGGAAGAUGUGGUGAAGAUUAGGAGUUUGAUGAGUGGCAAUAGUAUUGUAAAGAAGAAUGCUGGUUGUAGCUUAAUUCAGUUGGAUGGGAUUGUACAUGAGUUUCUUGCGGGAGAUAGUUUGCAUGCACAAAGAGAUGAGAUAUAUAAGGUUUUAGAUGGAAUUAGGGAACAUCAAUUUGAAGUGUGGUAGUAAUAGGCCUGAACUUUCAGCAUAUAAAUGCUAGUUUGCGUUCUCUGUAUUAUUUAUGAGUUGUUAGGGGAAGUGGAUGGUGGGAGAGAUGACUGUUAGCCAGUUGCGCUAGAAUUCUUGGAUGAGGACAAAGAACAAAAGUGUGAAAAUUGGAUUAUGUAAGGACAAAUAUUUAUUUACGUGCACCGAUAUGCAAAUUCCCUUUGAACAAUCGUUUGGUUUAAGCAGGAGAUUCAUAGUGAAAUUGCAGUUGCAAACUUCAAAAUUUGUACCUCACAUAGUGAAAGGCCAACCAUUGUCCUUGAGGCGAGAGUUACAGCUAAUGGGAAAUGUGGCCUUUUUGGAGCUUCCUAGCAGAAACUUUUGUGAGGGAAUCCGGAAUCCUAACACAUAUCUACGUGCAGCAUUUUGAAGAUGCCAUUCUUAAAUUUGUUUCGGUGUAUAGAACCCUAAUUAAGAAAACAGAAGACGAGCAUGACUUGCCACUUCGAUGUUUGAUGCUGUGCACUCGAAUUACAAGAAGCAUUCCUUGGGCUUCUACACUGCUUAUUACGUAAUUCCAGAACCUCUCCUGAUCGCCACCUUCUAUAAAUUCCGAGAACGUAGCUGAAGACGACUGCUUGUUGAGCAAAGCCUCUCUCUUUCCGAGUUUCUUUGAUAUAAAGUUGCCACCCUAGAUAAUGGCAUCUUUCAUCUAUCCUGAUCAUGGCUUCAGAUUUGGGAAUACUUAUCCCAUGUAUAAAUGGUUGAAUUGUAACAUUUGAU